ACUCCUACGGGAGGCAGCAGUGGGGAAUCUUGGACAAUGGGGGCAACCCUGAUCCAGCCAUGCCGCGUGAGUGAUGAAGGCCUUAGGGUCGUAAAGCUCUUUCGCCUGUGAUGAUAAUGACAGUAGCAGGUAAAGAAACCCCGGCUAACUCCGUGCCAGCAGCCGCGGUAAUACGGAGGGGUUAGCGUUGUUCGGAAUUACUGGGCGUAAAGCGCGCGUAGGCGGAUUAGUCAGUUAGAGGUGAAAUCCCAGGGCUCAACCCUGGAACUGCCUUUAAUACUGCUAGUCUUGAGUUCGAGAGAGGUGAGUGGAAUUCCGAGUGUAGAGGUGAAAUUCGUAGAUAUUCGGAGGAACACCAGUGGCGAAGGCGGCUCACUGGCUCGAUACUGACGCUGAGGUGCGAAAGUGUGGGGGAGCAAACAGGAUUAGAUACCCUGGUAGACAUCAC
Molecule: ribosomal RNA, 448 nt
Filed under: uncultured bacterium
Lineage: Bacteria
Description: bacterial SSU rRNA
Rfam family: Bacterial small subunit ribosomal RNA
Source: RNAcentral